GAUGGGAAUAAUAAUAGUGGGCAGCAGCAGGCUGGGGGGACGGGCCAGGUGUCAAUCACGAACGAGAGAGGAGACGGAGGGGAAGAUGAAGAUGAUGGCGAUGGAGCGAUGGAGGAUAUAUUUGGUGAUGAGGGCUUGGAUGGGGAAGUGCGGGAUGAGGAUAAGACCAUGACAGAUGUUUGAUAUCCCUCACUUAACCGAAACAUUGAGAAGUGGUCCGUUUGGGGCUUGCUAUGAUACUCUUUUUUUCUCCUUUCAUGUUCUCAUUUCACCAUCAUAAUUUGGGACGGGCGUUUGGCUUUUAUUUCUUUUUACAUUCGGAUGGGCGCCUCGGGACGGUUAAGAAACAAAAAGAGUUCGAGCAAUAUAGCGAAAUAAACACUGUUUAGCGAAGAUCUAAACGCCAUUUAUACGGUUUAUAUUUAUACAAAGAGGCUUUCAAGAGGUAGAGAGGAAGAAACGAAGGAAAAUUGAGAAAGGGGAGUCUCCUCCCUCACCUCCCAACAUUCCUAAUAGAAUGAAAAGCCAAA
Molecule: small RNA, 530 nt
Filed under: Histoplasma capsulatum
Lineage: Eukaryota; Fungi; Ascomycota; Eurotiomycetes; Onygenales; Ajellomycetaceae
Also listed under: 1 other name
Description: hypothetical RNA
Source: RNAcentral